AGCGUACACGGUGGAUGCCUAGGCAGUCAGAGGCGAUGAAGGGCGUGCUAAUCUGCGAAAAGCGUCGGUAAGGUGAUAUGAACCGUUACAACCGGCGAUACCCGAAUGGGGAAACCCAGUGUGUUUCGACACACUAUCAUGUCAUGAAUACAUAGUGGCAUGAGGCGAACCGGGGGAACUGAAACAUCUAAGUACCCCGAGGAAAAGAAAUCAACCGAGAUUCCCCCAGUAGCGGCGAGCGAACGGGGAGGAGCCCAGAACCUGAAUCGGCUUGUGUGUUAGUGGAAGCGUCUGGAAAGUCGCGCAGUAAAGGGUGAUAGCCCCGUACACUAAAAUGCACAGGUCGUGAGUUCGAUGAGUAGGGCGGGACACGUGACAUCCUGUCUGAAUAUGGGGGGACCAUCCUCCAAGGCUAAAUACUCCUGACUGACCGAUAGUGAACCAGUACCGUGAGGGAAAGGCGAAAAGAACCCCGGCGAGGGGAGUGAAAUAGAACCUGAAACCGUGUACGUACAAGCAGUGGGAGCACCUUCGUGGUGUGACUGCGUACCUUUUGUAUAAUGGGUCAGCGACUUAUAUUUUGUAGCAAGGUUAACCGUAUAGGGGAGCCGUAGGGAAACCGAGUCUUAACUGGGCGAAUAGUUGCAAGGUAUAGACCCGAAACCCGGUGAUCUAGCCAUGGGCAGGUUGAAGGUUGGGUAACACUAACUGGAGGACCGAACCGACUAAUGUUGAAAAAUUAGCGGAUGACUUGUGGCUGGGGGUGAAAGGCCAAUCAAACCGGGAGAUAGCUGGUUCUCCCCGAAAGCUAUUUAGGUAGCGCCUCGUGAACUCAUCUUCGGGGGUAGAGCACUGUUUCGGCUAGGGGGCCAUCCCGGCUUACCAAACCGAUGCAAACUCCGAAUACCGAAGAAUGUUAUCACGGGAGACACACGGCGGGUGCUAACGUCCGUCGUGAAGAGGGAAACAACCCAGACCGCCAGCUAAGGUCCCAAAGUCAUGGUUAAGUGGGAAACGAUGUGGGAAGGCAUAGACAGCCAGGAUGUUGGCUUAGAAGCAGCCAUCAUUUAAAGAAAGCGUAAUAGCUCACUGGUCGAGUCGGCCUGCGCGGAAGAUGUAACGGGGCUAAACCAUGCACCGAAGCUGCGGCAGCGACGCUUAGGCGUUGUUGGGUAGGGGAGCGUUCUGUAAGCCGUUGAAGGUGGCCUGUGAGGGUUGCUGGAGGUAUCAGAAGUGCGAAUGCUGACAUAAGUAACGAUAAAGCGGGUGAAAAGCCCGCUCGCCGGAAGACCAAGGGUUCCUGUCCAACGUUAAUCGGGGCAGGGUGAGUCGACCCCUAAGGCGAGGCUGAAAAGCGUAGUCGAUGGGAAACAGGUUAAUAUUCCUGUACUUGGUGUUACUGCGAAGGGGGGACGGAGAAGGCUAGGCUAGCCGGGCGACGGUUGUCCCGGUUUAAGCGUGUAGGGGGUGUGACCUGGUAAAUCCGGUUNAAUCGUACCCCAAACCGACACAGGUGGUCAGGUAGAGAAUACCAAGGCGCUUGAGAGAACUCGGGUGAAGGAACUAGGCAAAAUGGUGCCGUAACUUCGGGAGAAGGCACGCUGGCAUGUAGGUGAAGUCCCUUGCGGAUGGAGCUGAAGCCAGUCGAAGAUACCAGCUGGCUGCAACUGUUUAAUAAAAACACAGCACUGUGCAAACACGAAAGUGGACGUAUACGGUGUGACGCCUGCCCGGUGCUGGAAGGUUAAUUGAUGGGGUCAGCCGCAAGGCGAAGCUCUUGAUCGAAGCCCCAGUAAACGGCGGCCGUAACUAUAACGGUCCUAAGGUAGCGAAAUUCCUUGUCGGGUAAGUUCCGACCUGCACGAAUGGCGUAAUGAUGGCCAGGCUGUCUCCACCCGAGACUCAGUGAAAUUGAACUCGCUGUGAAGAUGCAGUGUACCCGCGGCAAGACGGAAAGACCCCGUGAACCUUUACUAUAGCUUGACACUGAACAUUGAGCCUUGAUGUGUAGGAUAGGUGGGAGGCUUUGAAGCGUGGACGCCAGUCUGCGUGGAGCCAUCCUUGAAAUACCACCCUUUAAUGUUUGAUGUUCUAACUCGGCCCCAUAAUCUGGGGUGAGGACAGUGUCUGGUGGGUAGUUUGACUGGGGCGGUCUCCUCCCAAAGAGUAACGGAGGAGCACGAAGGUUAGCUAAUCACGGUCGGACAUCGUGAGGUUAGUGCAAAGGCAUAAGCUAGCUUGACUGCGAGAGUGACGGCUCGAGCAGGUACGAAAGUAGGUCUUAGUGAUCCGGUGGUUCUGAAUGGAAGGGCCAUCGCUCAACGGAUAAAAGGUACUCCGGGGAUAACAGGCUGAUACCGCCCAAGAGUUCAUAUCGACGGCGGUGUUUGGCACCUCGAUGUCGGCUCAUCACAUCCUGGGGCUGAAGUAGGUCCCAAGGGUAUGGCUGUUCGCCAUUUAAAGUGGUACGCGAGCUGGGUUUAGAACGUCGUGAGACAGUUCGGUCCCUAUCUGCCGUGGGCGUUGGAAGAUUGAGAGGGGUUGCUCCUAGUACGAGAGGACCGGAGUGAACGCACCACUGGUGUUCGGGUUGUCAUGCCAAUGGCAUUGCCCGGUAGCUAAGUGCGGAAAAGAUAAGCGCUGAAAGCAUCUAAGCGCGAAACUUGCCUCAAGAUGAGUCUUCCCUGGGCCUUUAAGGCCCCUGAAGGAACGUUUAAGACUAAGACGUUGA
This 2731-nucleotide ribosomal RNA is filed under the name Serratia marcescens. RNAcentral's name for it is "bacterial LSU rRNA". It matches the Rfam family "Bacterial large subunit ribosomal RNA". The record is from RNAcentral. Lineage: Bacteria; Pseudomonadati; Pseudomonadota; Gammaproteobacteria; Enterobacterales; Yersiniaceae.